AUGAACGCUGGCGGCGUGCCUAAUACAUGCAAGUCGAGCGAACAGAUAAGGAGCUUGCUCCUUUGACGUUAGCGGCGGACGGGUGAGUAACACGUGGGUAACCUACCUAUAAGACUGGGAUAACUUCGGGAAACCGGAGCUAAUACCGGAUAACAUUUGGAACCGCAUGGUUCUAAAGUGAAAGAUGGUAUUGCUAUCACUUAUAGAUGGACCCGCGCCGUAUUAGCUAGUUGGUAAGGUAACGGCUUACCAAGGCGACGAUACGUAGCCGACCUGAGAGGGUGAUCGGCCACACUGGAACUGAGACACGGUCCAGACUCCUACGGGAGGCAGCAGUAGGGAAUCUUCCGCAAUGGGCGAAAGCCUGACGGAGCAACGCCGCGUGAGUGAUGAAGGGUUUCGGCUCGUAAAACUCUGUUAUUAGGGAAGAACAAACGUGUAAGUAACUGUGCACGUCUUGACGGUACCUAAUCAGAAAGCCACGGCUAACUACGUG
This 496-nucleotide ribosomal RNA is filed under the name uncultured bacterium. Its description in RNAcentral is "partial 16S ribosomal RNA". It matches the Rfam family "Bacterial small subunit ribosomal RNA", at positions 29 to 507 of the family's 1533-position model. The record is from RNAcentral.